ACGCGCCUCUACGGGGCAGCAGUUGGCAAUUGCCAAUGGGCCAAGCUGAUGCAGCAUGCGCGUGUAUGAGAGCUCGGUUGUAAGUACUUCAGCGGGGAGGAGUGUGUGUAUAACCACAGCAUUGACGUACCCGCAGAGAGCACCGGCUAACUCCGUGCAGCAGCGCGGCAAUACGGAGGGUGCAAGCGUUAAUCGGAAUUACUGGGCGUAAAGCGCACGCAGGCGGUCUGUCAAGUCGGAUGUGAAAUCCCCGGGCUCAACCUGGGAACUGCAUUCGAAACUGGCAGGCUAGAGUCUUGUAGAGGGGGGUAGAAUUCCAGGUGUAGCGGUGAAAUGCGUAGAGAUCUGGAGGAAUACCGGUGGCGAAGGCGGCCCCCUGGACAAAGACUGACGCUCAGGUGCGAAAGCGUGGGGAGCAAACAGGAUUAGAUACCCUGGUAGUCCACGCUGUAAACGAUGUCGACUUGGAGGUUGUGCCCUUGAGGCGUGGCUUCCGGAGCUAACGCGUUAAGUCGACCGCCUGGGGAGUACGGCCGCAAGGUUAAAACUCAAAUGAAUUGACGGGGGCCCGCACAAGCGGUGGAGCAUGUGGUUUAAUUCGAUGCAACGCGAAGAACCUUACCUACUCUUGACAUCCACGGAAUUCGCCAGAGAUGGCUUAGUGCCUUCGGGAACCGUGAGACAGGUGCUGCAUGGCUGUCGUCAGCUCGUGUUGUGAAAUGUUGGGUUAAGUCCCGCAACGAGCGCAACCCUUAUCCUUUGUUGCCAGCACGUAAUGGUGGGAACUCAAAGGAGACUGCCGGUGAUAAACCGGAGGAAGGUGGGGAUGACGUCAAGUCAUCAUGGCCCUUACGAGUAGGGCUACACACGUGCUACAAUGGCAUAUACAAAGAGAAGCGAACUCGCGAGAGCAAGCGGACCUCAUAAAGUAUGUCGUAGUCCGGAUUGGAGUCUGCAACUCGACUCCAUGAAGUCGGAAUCGCUAGUAAUCGUAGAUCAGAAUGCUACGGUGAAUACGUUCCCGGGCCUUGUACACACCGCCCGUCACACCAUGGGAGUGGGUUGCAAAAGAAGUAGGUAGCUUAACCUUCGGGAGGGCGCUUACCACUUUGUGAUUCAUGACUGGGGUGAAGUCGUAACAAGGUAACCAAGGGCGAAUCGCGCCGCUAUC
This 1171-nucleotide ribosomal RNA is filed under the name uncultured bacterium. RNAcentral describes it as "bacterial SSU rRNA". It matches the Rfam family "Bacterial small subunit ribosomal RNA", at positions 331 to 1533 of the family's 1533-position model. The record is from RNAcentral.